GUGCGUAGACAAUAAAUGGGAGUUUUAGCCCCUAUCAUAUCUAAAAUUAUGCGUAAAGUGAUAUAACUUAUUAACCAUACAUAUUAGAGACCUAGGGUCUUUUGAUUUGAGAUGAUCAGUUAGUGACCUUGAAAUUGAGGUCAAGGUCAUAGGUUAAUUUGACGUUCUAGAUUAUGACCUUUGCUUAAAAUUCAUAUCUGAACAUCAGAAAGCC
RNAcentral lists this long non-coding RNA (214 nucleotides) under Mytilus galloprovincialis (Mediterranean mussel). Lineage: Eukaryota; Metazoa; Mollusca; Bivalvia; Mytilida; Mytilidae. The record is from RNAcentral.